RNAcentral lists this long non-coding RNA (622 nucleotides) under Phasianus colchicus (ring-necked pheasant). Its description in RNAcentral is "lncRNA (ENSPCLG00000010463.1)". Lineage: Eukaryota; Metazoa; Chordata; Aves; Galliformes; Phasianidae. The record is from RNAcentral.
ACCAGUGUUAUUGUUCAGAAAAAGUUCUCUUAUUUGUUUAACUACUUUGUUUGUUUGUUUGUUCAACAGAUUGGGUGGCCAGCUUCUGUGCAGAAAAAGGGAAAGCACUGACACACUCAACUGAAGAAGUUGUCUUGUGAUGAAACAGCACAUUUCAGUGACCGAUGACAGCAUGGAGAACUAUAAAACAUGAGUUUAAAGAGAAAGGAGCUGCUACAGUGAGAGGCUGCACAGACUUAGGGCUGCUGAAUUGAUAAGUCUGAAGGAUAACAGGCCUGGACAGAGUGACUUUGAGUUACACUUCUAUAUGCUCUUCAAGGGGGUUAAAUUCAUUUAGAAAUACAUGAUUUGGGUCAAAAUGGUGAAAUACGCAUUGAAUUGUAUUUUCUUUCUCAAUUUGCAAAGACUGAUGAGAUCAUCUCAGUGUUGACUGGCUGUGAAACAGGCAAGAAAAUGAAAACAAAAGUCAAGUUUAUAGGAGAUUUAUGAUUUCAGAAGUAAUUAUAAGGAAUAGUACUAAGAGCAUCUAAAACAAUGUAACUGAAUUAUCUAAAGAGAUAUGUAUGUAUAGGAAUCCUGUCAAAAGUAGCUAAGAUCAGCAGACAUGUGUUGUUGAAUAAUC